This is a long non-coding RNA of Cyprinus carpio carpio, 4405 nucleotides long. The record is from Ensembl. Lineage: Eukaryota; Metazoa; Chordata; Actinopteri; Cypriniformes; Cyprinidae.
AUGUCGGCAGAUUUUGACGUAGAUGAAGACUUGAAUUUUUUUAACCAACCUUACUUAUUCGAACCUGAAUACACAGAUAUUGAAUUGCAAGAGAUGGAAGAGGCUGCCGCUGCAACACAACCACAGUCUCAAGCUUCCGAAAGACAGAGAGCAUUGGAGAGCUGGUGGUGUAAAUGUAAUCAGUGCCAGGCGAUGCCAACUGAACAGGAGAGCAUGUGCUGCAUCGAUUGGGACAUUGUCAUGCCACAGCUUGAAAGUUUGGAUAACGCAGACAAUGGGACAAGUGUAUUUUCGCUGUAUAACCGAGGAUGGAGCUCUCGUGAACGAACGUCAGAGGCCUACAAGAGAGAAAAUGAAUAGUUGAAUAAAGUCGUUCUUUUGUUUGUUUUUUUUCGCACGAAAAGUAUUAUCGUCGCUUGAGAAACGUACGGUUGAGCCACUGUAGUGGCAUGGACUAUUUAAACAUUUUCUUCACUGACUUUCUGGACGGACAAGUUUGGGCCCCCUUAAAGCCAAUGGAGGAGUAUUCCAGCGCUCAUAUUUAAUCACAAAAAUAUUAAUUUGUGAUCCAAAGAUGAACGAAAGACUUACAUGGUUGGAUCAACACGAGGGUGAGUAAUUACUGACAGAAUUUUCAUUUUUGGGUGAACUAUCCCUUUAAAUAUAUACAUGCAUGUGUGUGUAUUUAUAUAUACAUAAUAAAUAUACACAGUAUACACACAUAUAUUAUGUAAACAAAACUUUUAUUUUGGAUGUGAUUAAUCGUGAUUAAUCAUUUGACAGCCCUAAUUUUUACCUUUAUGGACAUUUUUACCUUUAUAAAGCCAUUAUUUUUCUAAAAGUGUGCGUAAUUUUUUCAGUCAAAUUCUUAAAUUGAAUCAGUCCAUUAGAAUGAUAAGUCAUUUGGGCUGUUACCAAGCAAAUGACAUCAGUAUAGACAAAAAUAAUUUUUGCAAUGCAGAGAAAACAAAGAAGCUGCAUUGAACGGGCAUUUAGAUGCAUUUAAACACUGUUUAAUGCAGGACAUGAAUGUAUUUAACCUGUAGUUACAAAUGCAUUCAUACCAUUUUGAUAUUUUAAACAUAAAACGUUGAAUACUGAUAUUUGAAAUUAUUUAAAAAAAGAAAGAAAGAAAAGAAAAGAAAAGAUACUUUAAAUGUGAAAUUAACACAGCCAGUAGGUGGCAGCAAGUCACUGUUAAUAAGUGAGUCAUUGCGACUGAACCGAAUCAUUUAAACGGUUGAUUAAUUAAGGAUCAAAUCAGUGUUAUGUUGCUCAGAGAUAUCCUGCCCCCAUAUCUUGAAUUUUGUGAUCAUACUAAAUGCAUUUUUGUAAACUAAAUCAUGUAGUGAAAGAACGCGCACUGGUGUAACCUACUAGACUUCCUGUCUUGACUAAACUUUAGCUAACUUACAUGGUAGCUCUCAAAUUAAUUGGAAAUGCCUUUUGGAUAAUUAGCUGUAAAUUCGAGGCACAGGUAGCUUAGUCUUUUGUUCAUCACCACUCACCUCCACACCAGGACAAACACACUGGAAAGGGAGGGAGGGCUUCACAUCUGUGCCUCUCUGUCUGUCAGUGAUGCGCAUGUGGCAGUCAAUGUAUGGUACACUGCUGUGCUGCAGAGACGCGGAGGGGAGAAAGGCAUCGACAGAGUCUCAACAUUUCCCUGCAAGACAUGAUAUUUAGAUUUUUUUUUUUAUCUGUUGGAUAGGGAAAGCUGUGCGCAAAAAGAAACACACACGCACAUAUAUUCAUUUAUCCAGGACUGAGUUUUACUGUAAAAAAAAAAAAAAAAAAAAAAUGUAGGUACAACCAAGUGGUACACCAGUGGUAUUUUGUGUGCUAAUUAACAAAGAGGCUAAGUGUUUUUCGGACCAUUGUUCACUUUUUAAAAUCGCAAACCUUUAUGAGAGAGUUAUGGUACGCAGGAACUGCAUCCGUAAAAACCGAUUCAUUUAUAUAUAUUUACUAGUGGAUUCGCUAUACUUUUAUUGUUUAGAAAGUGACCAAUAAUCUGUGACCAAUAUUUUAUAUGUAGAUCGAUUUCUCCUCUCUUAACCCUGUUGAAAAAAACAGCAUAUGCUGGUUUGGUAUGUUUUGACACUGGGAUGCUGGUUUAUGCUGGUCCUUUGCUGGUUUAUGCUGGUCCAUGCUGGUCCUUUUGCUGGUCCAUGUUGGUCCUUUUGCUGGUCGAUGCUGGUCCUUUGCUGGUUUAUGCUGGUCAUGUGCUGGCAAAGGACCAGCUUAAACCAGCAAAGGACCAGCAUAAACCAGCUUCCCAGCAUCAAAACAUACCUAACCAGCAUACUCAUUGUGUUCGAAUCAAUCGAAUCAAAAUCGGAUCGCACUGCAUCGUAACUGGGGUGAAUCGUAUCGCAUCUGUAGCUGCUUCAUAUGUAUUUUUAAUGUAUCGUAUCGUUGGCUAUGCAUCGAGAUGCGUAUCGUAUCGGCCUGAGUCAUGAGAUGCACAGUCCUACUACAAGAGCGUCCUGGCCCUGCAAUAAAUAAACAACCCGCCGUCUGUACUUCACCUGUCACUGAUGCUAGCACCUAAACCUUAUGAUGUAAUACAUGUAGGCUCUGGCUCGCCUCAGUGUCCGUUUUUUGACACAUACAUCCUUAAAUAACAGCCAACUGACUUUAUCACUGUGUAGAUACUGAUACGCCUCUGAGCUUUUCAAAUUGCUCAUCACCCUACCAUCACAGGAUACUGAAUCUACAAAAUAGCUAAAAAUGCUACCGUAUAUGAUAUGAGGCCACUUCUUCAAGUCAUUCUCCCAACCAUUUACCACGGAGGGUAAAAGGUACUGUCAUUUCACCCUUUUUAAGUUCAUUGAAGUUGUGUUCCCAUAUCGUUAGCAAGUUUGGAUCGUUAAAUCUUGAAUGACUGUCAACUGUUGAAUGAAUGAAUGAAUGUCACAUCUCACUUGUUUACUUCGAACCGGAAGACACUCCCAUUUUUUCAAGGCCUCAUGGGGCGUAGGAAACUUGUGGAUAUUUUAUGAAUGCAUUGGCCUAUAGUUACGAAACUGAACAUGUGUCUGACGGUACUCCAACAGUUUCACGGCAGCACCACCUUGUGGGCAAACGUUAUAGUGAAAUCUCCAAAAAUGCUAAUAACUUUUGAGUACAAUAGCUUAUUGUAAUGAAACCGGUCUCAAUAUAUUAUAUAUACAAAUUUUACCAUAGUCAGCCGAACUUCCUGUCUGCCAUUUUGUUUCAUAUUGAAAAACUACUUUUUCCAAUUCCUUUUUCCUUUUUCCAAAUUCCAUUUUCACCAAAUUUGACGCGUCUGAGGCCGUAUCUCUGCAAAGCUUUGACAUACUGACACUUUGACAUACUGAACUUUGUGUGUGCCAUUCUCACCUCGCACAGAACACACCACAUUGAUUUGAUAAUACUGGUCAAAUACUGGUCAAAAGUGAUAAGCCAUUAAAUCAUAUUACUAGUGGUUGUAUUUAUGCUUUUUCAGCCAUUUUGACUAAAAUCAUCUUAAAUGGCGUCAGUUACUCAUUGCUACAGUUGCUCUGAUGCUUGCUGCCUUGCUUGCUUCUGUAGUGCUUGGCAUGCUUACUGGUUGCAGCUAUAUUCCCCCUUGUUUUGUCUGGAGACUCCCUCAUUAUGGGAAGAAGGGAAAAUUUUGAGUCACCGCACAGUAUGUGUGAGGUACUCCUAUCUAUUUUUAUUUCUGCUUGAGUGCAGUUGUUCAACUACACUGGCAUGAGAAGCAUGCUUUAAAGCUGUGCACAUAUAGCAAGUUUGAUUUGUAGGAAGGUGGUUUUUUUGUUUGUUUGUUUUUUUCCCAUUUAGGCCAGUGCUAAAAAUGAUGUCAUGUUUUUAGCAAACAUCCCACAUGAAAAACAAGCAGCUGCAUCCCUAAAAAAACCCCAGCAUAUGCUGGUUAGCAGUGUUGGGGAGUAACUAAUUACAUUCAAGGGAAAUAACGUCAUUUAAUUACAAAAUAUUUGUAACUGUAAUCAGUUACAGAGAGAAAAAAAUGUGUUAUUGAAUUACUGUUACUUAUGAAAAUGUAAAGAUUUAAUUUAUUUCUUUCCCAAAUCGCAUUGACUGCUCUAAAAUAUAAGAUAGCAAUGUUUCAGGAGUUUAGGACACAGAAUAGGACCUGUUUCGUAUGAUAACUUUUAUUUCCUACAGUAUAUGGGUUCAUGUAUAUGCUUUUUAAGACUAACUGUUAGAUGCCAGUGUUUUCUGUCAUAGCUUUGCAAAUAUUUGAUUUCAAAAGUAUCUGUAUCAUAGCUAUUAAACUAUUAUUUCUUGUUGUGGUUUUAAAUCUGUAUUUCUUUCUACAACUAAAUGAGAGCAAAGCUGAGAUUGUUGUCUUUGGACCCCCAGGCGCUGUCUCUGAUAUCACUAUUAAUCUAGAUUCUAUCAUCAUCAAACAUUC